RNAcentral lists this unclassified non-coding RNA (826 nucleotides) under Hevea brasiliensis (rubber tree). The record is from RNAcentral. Lineage: Eukaryota; Viridiplantae; Streptophyta; Magnoliopsida; Malpighiales; Euphorbiaceae.
UUUGAGGAGUAAAGUAGGGUUUUGGCGUUCUUGUGGAUUUAUGAGGAGAAUUUUGUUCUCUGUUUGGGUUUUUGAGGGUAGGAUGAUUCUUGAAGGAUGAACGAUGCCGGUACUGCGUAGCGGAGUGCGCAGGGGCCGGGCAAAGCAGCAGAAAGACGUGUUGAGUCCGAUUGAGCCGGAAGGGGAGGCCAUUGCAACGAGAACAAGGAGGAGGAGGAAGGCAGCGGCGGCAGUAGAAGUGGUGCCUAAUACUAACGAGAAACAGUUGCAAGAAGGAAACGAUCGGCAGCCGCUACCGGUCGAUGAUAAGGUAGCUGCUGUGAUAGCGACUCCGGAGGAGCAUCGGGUGUCAAAGGAAGAUUUUCGUGGCAGAGGUGGAGACCAGCUUGGUAUUGGUGAGGUAGGAGACGCUGCUGGUGGAGCUAAGAAGGAAGAAAUUGGGGAGAAGAAAAUGAAUGAUCGCGACAGUGGAGCAGGAAGCAAUGAUAAAGCUCACGCUGUCGAAGAAGAGGGAAGCACAACACCACUUCCUGAAAAGAUUCAGGUGGGUGGUUCCCCACUCUACAGGAUAGAUAGAAAGCUGGGUAAAGGUGGAUUUGGACAGGUUUAUGUUGGACGGCGUGCUUCCACUGUUAAUACAAAUGAGAGAACUGGCCCUGGUGCUGUGGAGGUGGCUUUGAAAUUCGAGCAUAGAAGUAGCAAGGGAUGUAAUUAUGGACCGCCUUAUGAGUGGCAAGUUUACAAUACGCUUGGUGGUAGUCAUGGUGUACCCCGGGUGCAUUACAAGGGCAGACAAGGUGACUACUAUAUUAUGGUUAUGGAUAUG